GGGGCCGUGGUCCAGCUAGGGAGGAUACGUGGCUUGGGCCCACGUGGUCGCCGGUUCAAAUCCGGCCGGCCCCA
RNAcentral lists this transfer RNA (74 nucleotides) under Candidatus Bathyarchaeota archaeon. RNAcentral's name for it is "tRNA-Pro". It matches the Rfam family "tRNA". From Rfam's summary of the family: Transfer RNA (tRNA) molecules are approximately 80 nucleotides in length. Their secondary structure includes four short double-helical elements and three loops (D, anti-codon, and T loops). Lineage: Archaea; Thermoproteati; Candidatus Bathyarchaeota. RNAcentral also lists the same sequence under 2 other names. The record is from RNAcentral.